Triticum aestivum (bread wheat) is the source of this 1313-nucleotide long non-coding RNA. RefSeq lists it as uncharacterized. The record is from RefSeq and is a predicted model, not a curated record. Lineage: Eukaryota; Viridiplantae; Streptophyta; Magnoliopsida; Poales; Poaceae. The transcript is spliced from 5 exons.
CCGAGUCAAUCGACCACACCUCGCACCCCCAUCUGGAUCCGCCGCCUCCCCACCGCCGGCCCGCAUCGUCCGUCGCGCCCUCCUCCCCGUGUCUCCGAGUCCUCCGCGUGCAGCUUGCCGACGCCGAGGCCCAGGCCGCCGCGCUCCGGGAUCGCGCCGGCCGUCUCGAGCGCGUGCCGCCGACUGCGACGGGCUGCUCGGCACACUCCGCGCCGCCACGGGCAACAGGUGGUAGGACGAGGAGAGGGUGGUGGAGACAGCGGAGGAGCUGGUAGGAGGAGGAGGAGAGGAAGGUGGAGGCGGCAGAGGAGCCAGUAGGAGUACGAGAGGGAGGUGGAGGCGGCGGAGGAGGGGACGGGGAUGACGGGGACAGAUCGGACUACACACCGGAGGACGAGGGCUUCACACCGCCUACCGAUUCCUUCUUCCUCGCGUCCCGGUUACAUGGCCGUCGCUGCAGUCGCCCAACAUCGACCACCUUGCCCCGAUUAGCUCUUGGAUACGCGGACGACCGGAUGUGCUCCAGCGCGGCCGCCUAUGGGCUUCUCCCACGAUGAAUCGACAACUAAGCUCGGGGACGUGAUAUGGUGCUCGGUGUAGGUGGCCAUGGUGGUCCUGAAGCUGGCUUAGAUAAGCGAUGGGAUCGAGCGGCGGCGCUCCCUAUCUGAUCGGGAGCAGGACGACGACGGCGAGCACAUGGCGGACGAGAGGAGCAGGAGGGGAGGCGCGGAGGCAGGGCCAUAUGCGUCGGACGCGCGCGUUCGUCCGCAGUCAACGCGGACACAGCGGCCGUCCAUGGCGGCUUGGGUCGAUGUAGGAGGACGAGGGGAGGAGCUCGCGAGGCCCGGCACCGGUAAUGGAGCGGAGGCGGCUGGAUCUGGCGAUUCUAGAGGGGCUGGCGACGAGCGGCUCCAUGGGCGGCGACCUGCGGGGUUCAAGCGGCGGCUGAAGGUAUGAGCGAUCUGGUUUCCCCUUUUGUUGUUCUAUACGAGGAUGAUCCAGAUGCCUUUUGGUGUUUUGAGAUGCUACUGAGAAGGAUGCGUGAAAAUUUCCAUCUCGAGGGACCGACAGGAGUUAUGAAGCGGUUGGAAGCAUUGUGGAAGAUCAUGAAAUUGACAGAUACGGAACUAAUAAACUGGUAAGGAUCAAACAGGCAAAUGGAGUCCUAAUUUUCUAUUGGAAGUUCACAUGACAUGGUUCUAUGUUUGAGGCUUCAACAGACUGCGUAUGCCUCAAGAUUUGAGGUGUGAGUGUGCGACUUGAUUUUCUGUGUUGUUACAGUUAAUCGGUAAUGGAUAAAUCAAAUUUUGUUA